Long non-coding RNA from Trichoplusia ni (cabbage looper), 382 nucleotides. RefSeq lists it as uncharacterized. Lineage: Eukaryota; Metazoa; Arthropoda; Insecta; Lepidoptera; Noctuidae. The record is from RefSeq and is a predicted model, not a curated record. The transcript is spliced from 5 exons.
AUUAACAUAACAAUUAAUUAAAAAUCAAAAAUCACCAAAAUCUUAACUUUUCACAGUUGUGGUGAGAUUUCACGCUCGAUUACUUUAUACCGUGCAAUCAUUAAUAUCGAUUAUUUACGGUAUUCAUCGGUUUUUUAUAUAUACGGAGAAGGAGGUUACGUCCGUAGCGUUUUGUUGGGCUCACGGCGACAAUGAGGUGGAUUAUCCUCUUUUCUCUGUGCCUCGCUGUCGUACUAGCUGCACCGGCGCCUGCGCCCGGCCAGCAGAAUUUAGAUGACCAGCCAGAACAGCAAGCGCGGAGACGACUGCAAAGACUUAGUUUAAAAGUUGAAGACCGUGAUGACGAUGACGAAGCACGAGACAGGGAUGAUGAUGAUGACGA